This 387-nucleotide ribosomal RNA is filed under the name Mastocarpus stellatus. RNAcentral's name for it is "eukaryotic LSU rRNA". It matches the Rfam family "Eukaryotic large subunit ribosomal RNA", at positions 400 to 871 of the family's 3401-position model. Lineage: Eukaryota; Rhodophyta; Florideophyceae; Gigartinales; Phyllophoraceae. The record is from RNAcentral.
UGAAACCGUCACGGGGGAAGCGGAUCGCGUUGGAUCGGUGGGCGCUCGUGUGUUCAGCCUUCGGGUGCAUUGGCACGAGUGCUUAUCCGCUGUGAGUUUUCGGGGAUCGAUUUUGGAUCCCUGGAGGCUGAGGGCUCCCUUUUUGAGGUGAGGACAGCGGAGUAACGACGCGAUACGACCCGUCUUGAAACACGGACCAAGGAGUCUAGCGCGGGUGCGAGUCGGAGGGUGCAAGCCCGUGGGCGAAGUGAAAGCGAGUGUAAAAACGAGCAGUUUGGGGCGGCAUAAGAUCGUUGAUCUUAAGACCGACCCAGAGCAGUUGCGCUGGGACCCGAAAGAUGGUGAACUAUGCCGGAGUAGGGCAAAGCCAGAGGAAACUCUGGUGGA